AAGUCGUAACAAGGUAACCGUAGGUGAACCUGCGGUUGGAUCAUUAUUGAUUUAACUAUCUUGGUUAAGCGAAAGCUGGACCGAGAUUACACCCAUUGUGCACUGUAAUGUUUUUCGGGCUUGGAGACCUUUUAGGUUAAAGAGUCCGGCAGUUUAUAACAACCCUUUAUACUUUUGACUGAAUUUUUCUUAUGAAAAAAUUAUAACUUUUGACAACGGAUCUCUUGGCUCUC
RNAcentral lists this unclassified non-coding RNA (233 nucleotides) under fungal sp. RNAcentral describes it as "partial internal transcribed spacer region". The stretch from base 1 to 46 matches the Rfam family "Eukaryotic small subunit ribosomal RNA", at positions 1786 to 1831 of the family's 1831-position model. Lineage: Eukaryota; Fungi. The record is from RNAcentral.